Myotis brandtii (Brandt's bat) is the source of this 982-nucleotide long non-coding RNA. RefSeq lists it as uncharacterized. The transcript is spliced from 3 exons. The record is from RefSeq and is a predicted model, not a curated record. Lineage: Eukaryota; Metazoa; Chordata; Mammalia; Chiroptera; Vespertilionidae.
GCCAGCGUCUUGGGCACAGCCUGAGGGCUUCCGCGGCCACUCACUGCUGGUCGGAGGUCCCCUCCGCCCAGAGGCCACCGCUGAACUACCCAGACGCCUGGCGCAGCUGCUCCCUGAGGGGCUGGAGGGACAGCACGCAUCAGCGUCCCCUCGUGUCUUCCCGCCGGGCCCCUUCCUGGAAGAAGUUCCCAGGAGGAGGCUUCUGACCGUGAAUGAAACCUUCAGACACUCCUGCUUGGCUGCAGGGGAGGCUGUGCCCCUCCGGGGUGCUGGGCAGUUUCCACGGUAACGAAGGUCCACCCCGACGACUCAGCCACACACCUUGACGUGACCUAAUCCUAGAAAAGCCACCGAAACCUCGUCCUCCCGCCCCGCCCGCCCUGCCGGAGGCAGCCUGCUCACCAGGUGCUCAGAGGGACGAGGAGGAGGAGGAGGAGGAGGAGGGGGAGGAAGAGAGAACAGGCGAGGCCAGAUUCUUUAGAAAGAAGAUGGACAGUGACUUUCGACAGCACAUGACCUGCCUGCAGAGGACCCCACAACCUACCGCGUCCGUCUGAGAGCCACUGGGAUGACUUGUUCAGGAAGGAGUAACGGCCGCGCCCGUGCUGAGCGUGCAUGUCUGUGCUUUCCCGGGGCCACCAGGAGGGAUGACGCGGGGCCGGCGUUCCGGGGCCAACGGUCAGGAUGGGGCCUGGGCUGCCUGCGGCCAGUCUGUUGGGUGCGGGACACAGAGCAGAACAACAGGCUCCGAGUCCGCACAGCCCCUGCGCCUGGUUCACGGACGAGACGAGUGGCCACAGGACAGAGUGGCGACCUCAGGGCCCUGCGGUCCCAACAGCAGCCCCGGACUUUCUGGGCAGACACACUCUGCUCCACUCGCUCAGCAGGAAGGGGCAGACACGUUGUUAACAGAGCGUGGAGAGCGGCUACCGCGUUUGGACCGGUUAUGGUCCGAACCUGUGGGCCCACGUGGCUGAGUGAC